CAGUAGCCACGGUAAUACGUAGGGGGCAAGCGUUAUCCGGAUUUACUGGGUGUAAAGGGAGCGCAGACGGCAGUGCAAGUCUGAAGUGAAAGGCGUGGGCUCAACCCAUAAACUGCUUUGGAAACUGUAUAGCUUGAGUGUCGGAGGGGUAAGCGGAAUUCCUAGUGUAGCGGUGAAAUGCGUAGAUAUUAGGAGGAACACCGGAGGCGAAGGCGGCUUACUGGACGACAACUGACGUUGAGGCUCGAAGGCGUGGGGAGCAAACAGGAUUAGAUACCCCUGUAGUCCCUGUCUCUUAUAC
This 301-nucleotide ribosomal RNA is filed under the name uncultured bacterium. Its description in RNAcentral is "partial 16S ribosomal RNA". It matches the Rfam family "Bacterial small subunit ribosomal RNA", at positions 509 to 807 of the family's 1533-position model. The record is from RNAcentral.